GGCGGCAGCGCCCGGGCGGGGGGCGCUGUUCCUGGGCUCGGGGAGCGGUGGCGCUUGUGUGCGAACUGGUUUCAGCUACUGCGAGUAACGCGCUGUCAAACACAACAACGGAAAACAAAGGCGAUUUGCACUCCAAGUGAGGUUUACUGUUGUGUGGGCAGGGGAAGCUGCUCCCGGUGCGUAACGUCGCCCUAAGACGGGAACGGCCUGAGCUCCCUGUCCUGACAGCCCCGCAAACGGGGCUCUGGCCGAGCACCGGCAGCUGCCUCGGGCAGAGCACAAAACCCGUGUUCAAGUCGAAAAGCCUGCUCUCAAGCCCGCAGUGGUCUGUGGCUCUGGGUCUGGAGACACUGCUGCAUUUCAUAAUGUAUUUUUAAUAGGGUGAGCGACAAAAAGCACUUUCUGCUCAUGCAGCAAGAGAGCAAGCAGCCGAAUACUCAGAUGACAGUGACAAAGACGGCACAUUAAACGGUGUUGGAAAAGAACGUAACGGAAGGAAUUCAGGUGCUGGAAGCAC
Long non-coding RNA from Columba livia (rock pigeon), 517 nucleotides. RefSeq lists it as uncharacterized. The transcript has 3 exons. NCBI's taxonomy places the organism in Eukaryota, Metazoa, Chordata, Aves, Columbiformes, Columbidae. The record is from RefSeq and is a predicted model, not a curated record.